Molecule: ribosomal RNA, 463 nt
Filed under: Lachnospiraceae bacterium canine oral taxon 263
Lineage: Bacteria; Bacillati; Bacillota; Clostridia; Lachnospirales; Lachnospiraceae
Description: bacterial SSU rRNA
Rfam family: Bacterial small subunit ribosomal RNA
Source: RNAcentral
GAGUUUGAUUAUGGCUCAGGAUGAACGCUGGCGGCAUGCCUAACACAUGCAAGUUGAACGAGAAGUUUUGGAGGGAGUCUUCGGACGAACGAAGGAAUGGAAAGUAGCGAACGGGUGAGUAACGCGUGGGCAACCAACCUUACACAGGGGGAUAACGCAGAGAAAUUUGCGCUAAUACCGCAUAAGCGCACAGUAUCACAUGAUACGGUGUGAAAAACUCCGGUGGUGUAAGACGGGCCCGCGUCUGAUUAGCUAGUUGGCAGGGUAAAAGCCUACCAAGGCGACGAUCAGUAGCCGACCUGAGAGGGUGAUCGGCCACAUUGGGACUGAGACACGGCCCAAACUCCUACGGGAGGCAGCAGUGGGGGAUAUUGCACAAUGGAGGAAACUCUGAUGCAGCAAUGCCGCGUGAAGGAAGACGGUUUUCGGAUUGUAAACUUCUAUCAGCAGGGAAGAAAAUGAC